Molecule: ribosomal RNA, 253 nt
Filed under: uncultured bacterium
Lineage: Bacteria
Description: partial 16S ribosomal RNA
Rfam family: Bacterial small subunit ribosomal RNA
Source: RNAcentral
UACGAAGGGGGCUAGCGUUGCUCGGAAUCACUGGGCGUAAAGGGCGCGUAGGCGGCCUGUUAAGUCGAACGUGAAAUCCCCGGGCUCAACCCGGGAACUGCGUCCGAUACUGGCAGGCUUGAAUCCGGGAGAGGGAUGCGGAAUUCCAGGUGUAGCGGUGAAAUGCGUAGAUAUCUGGAGGAAUACCGGUGGCGAAGGCGGCAUCCUGGACCGACAUUGACGCUGAACGGCGAAAGCUAGGGGAGCAAACGGG